This 745-nucleotide ribosomal RNA is filed under the name uncultured bacterium. Its description in RNAcentral is "bacterial SSU rRNA". It matches the Rfam family "Bacterial small subunit ribosomal RNA", at positions 33 to 773 of the family's 1533-position model. The record is from RNAcentral.
ACGCUGGCGGCAUGCCUUACACAUGCAAGUCGAACGGCAGCACGGAGCUUGCUCUGGUGGCGAGUGGCGAACGGGUGAGUAAUAUAUCGGAACGUACCCUAGAGUGGGGGAUAACGUAGCGAAAGUUACGCUGAUACCGCAUACGAUCUAAGGAUGAAAGUGGGGGAUCGCAAGACCUCAUGCUCGUGGAGCGGCCGAUAUCUGAUUAGCUAGUUGGUAGGGUAAAAGCCUACCAAGGCAUCGAUCAGUAGCUGGUCUGAGAGGACGACCAGCCACACUGGAACUGAGACACGGUCCAGACUCCUACGGGAGGCAGCAGUGGGGAAUCUUGGACAAUGGGCGAAAGCCUGAUCCAGCAAUGCCGCGUGAGUGAAGAAGGCCUUCGGGUUGUAAAGCUCUUUUGUCAGGGAAGAAACGGUGAAAGCUAAUAUCUUUUGCUAAUGACGGUACCAGAAGAAUAAGCACCGGCUAACUACGUGCCAGCAGCCGCGGUAAUACGUAGGGUGCAAGCGUUAAUCGGAAUUACUGGGCGUAAAGCGUGCGCAGGCGGUUUUGUAAGUCUGAUGUGAAGUCCCCGGGCUCAACCUGGGAAUUGCAUUCAAAACUGACUGACUAGAGUAUGGUAGAGGGUGGUGGAAUUUCCUGUGUAGCGGUGAAAUGCGUAGAUAUAGGAAGGAGCACCAGUGGCGAAGGCGACCACCUGGACUAAUACUGACACUGAGGUGCGAAAGCGUGGGGAGCAAAC